CUUGCUCAUGAGACGCACUAGUGCUCUGAUAGCCCACCAGAUUUGACUUCUCAUACAUCGACGGCCACAAACCUCGAGUGGGGACAGAACAACUGCUUGGACACAUAAGCUGAAUUUGGACUUUGGGCAAUCAAAGCCAGCAACACAAACAUGGAUUUCUUCAAGGUGAUGGGAGAUGCUGCAGUAGGAGCUGUUGAGGGCACCGCUGGGGCUGUGAAAACUGUGGCGGACACCUCGGUAGCCACCGCCAAAGGUGCUGCAGAAGAAGGAGUUGCCAGGGUGGACAGAGCAGUCAAAGCCGGGGUAACAGGCAUUUUGCAGACCCCAGGGACAGUUGUGGCAGGAAUUCAGCAAGCAGCAGAUGCAGUUAUUAAAAAGUAACGCCUUUUAAUAAAACAUCCACCAAAGAGCUCCUUUUUGUGAUUGUUUAACAUAUUAAACACAAGAUGUUGAUAAGAAACCAGUCCACGCUACUCUGAAUGUAGAGUCUUUGAGUCUAUUUUCGUGUCAUUUCUGCUGCAUAUGCUGUAAAAACGUCUGGGUCCCACUUUAUUUUAAGUGCCGCUAAUAAAUGUGUUGUUACAUUUGAACAACAUAUGUAACAACUAUGUGAAUACUAAUGAUUUAGUCGCUGUUACAGAUGGAUUACAGCAGUACAGCUUAUGUAAUUACACGUGUAUCAAUGUCAGGUGUCAUAUAGGUACAAUGCAAUUACAGAGUGGUAAUUAAUAUGAUGUAAUUAGGUUACCUGGUUACAACACAGUUAUUCCACAGUAAUUAUGUAAAACAUCAUUGUAAUAUUGUCUGAUCUGUGGCGCAUGAAGUUAAUACACAUGUAAUUACACAGGCGCAACUUCUGUAAUCAUCUGUAAUGUGGCUUAAAUAUUAGUAGUUAGUGUAGUUACAUAUGUUAUUGAUGUGUAACUACACAGUUAUUAGAGACACUUAAUAUAAAGUGGGACCGUUUUUAUAGUGGAUAAAGGAAAUAUGUAAUUACUUAAAUUAAGACAUUAUUUACACUGUAUCUGCCAGCUUUCCUGACAUUUAUCCAGCGUUUAUGUUGUUAGUGCUGUGACCCUGUAACCAGUUUCAGCUUUAAACCAGUCUGUAAUGAGUCAGAACAGCAGACGCCCUUGAUAUUAACAUGUUACAUUAAUUAAAUGUGUUGCAUUUCCCCCAAAGCAACGUCUAUAUUACCCCUCCAUUACUACACAGGACCUGCCCACUUAUUAUGAAGUGUAACUGUAACUCUACACUAGAAAGCUCCUGUGUAGUUGUUGUGUAGGUACUGUGUAAUUAUGAAUUCAUGUGAUGAGAUGAAGUUUCCUUGUUACAACACAGUUACUCCACAGUAAAUACUGUAAUGUCAUGUAAAACGUACUUGUUUUAGCUGCUGGAAAAGACUUCUGACCUGUAGUGUAUGAAAAAUACAUACAUGUGUAAUUACAUGAAGCGAGACUGAAGCUGUUACACAUCUGUAAUUACAUAGGCUGUACUUCUGUUCUCCAUCUGAAACACAGGCUAGACCAUCAGCAGGUACAGUGUUGCUACAUAUGUUACUCAUGUGAAAUUACACAGUUAUUAUCGACACUUUAUAUUAAGUGGGAACAGCUUAAAUUUAAUGGUCAACAUGCGUUUUUGAAAAAAAAAAGCCAAAUAUAAAAAUAAACCACACAUUCUGUA
This is a long non-coding RNA of Pygocentrus nattereri (red-bellied piranha), 1683 nucleotides long. RefSeq lists it as uncharacterized. NCBI's taxonomy places the organism in Eukaryota, Metazoa, Chordata, Actinopteri, Characiformes, Serrasalmidae. The transcript is spliced from 3 exons. The record is from RefSeq and is a predicted model, not a curated record.